This 65-nucleotide transfer RNA is filed under the name Ophiophagus hannah (king cobra). Its description in RNAcentral is "tRNA-Asp". Lineage: Eukaryota; Metazoa; Chordata; Lepidosauria; Squamata; Elapidae. The record is from RNAcentral.
GAGAACCUAGUAAAACAUCAUUACAUGGCCCUGUCACAGCCAAAUCACAGCCUCUGUGGUCCUCA